Molecule: ribosomal RNA, 444 nt
Filed under: uncultured bacterium
Lineage: Bacteria
Description: SSU rRNA
Rfam family: Bacterial small subunit ribosomal RNA
Source: RNAcentral
AGAACGAACGCUGGCGGCAGGCUUAACACAUGCAAGUCGAGCGCCCCGCAAGGGGAGCGGCAGACGGGUGAGUAACGCGUGGGAACAUACCCUCCGGUUCGGAAUAGCUCAGGGAAACUUGGAUUAAUACCGGAUACGGCCUAGCGGCGAAAGAUUCAUCGCCGGAGGAUUGGCCCGCGUCUGAUUAGCUAGUUGGUGGGGUAAUGGCCCACCAAGGCGACGAUCAGUAGCUGGUCUGAGAGGAUGAUCAGCCACAUUGGGACUGAGACACGGCCCAAACUCCUACGGGAGGCAGCAGUGGGGAAUAUUGGACAAUGGGCGCAAGCCUGAUCCAGCCAUGCCGCGUGAGUGAUGACGGCCUUAGGGUUGUAAAGCUCUUUCGCUAGGGACGAUAAUGACGGUACCUAGACAAGAAGCCCCGGCUAACUUCGCGCCAGCAGCCGC